RNAcentral lists this ribosomal RNA (253 nucleotides) under uncultured bacterium. RNAcentral's name for it is "partial 16S ribosomal RNA". It matches the Rfam family "Bacterial small subunit ribosomal RNA", at positions 524 to 776 of the family's 1533-position model. The record is from RNAcentral.
UACGGGGGGUGCAAAUGUUGUUCGGAAUCACUGGGCGUAAAGGGAGCGUAGGCGGGCUUCUAAGUUAGAUGUUUAAUCCCGGGGCCCAACCCCGGACAGGCACCUAAAACUGGAAGUCUUGAAUAGUGGAGAGGACGGCGGAAUUGGGGGUGUAGCGGUGGAAUGCGUAGAGAUCCCCAAGAACACCAGUUGCGAAGGCGGCCGUCUGGACACAUAUUGACGCUGAGGCUCGAAAGCAUGGGGAGCAAACAGG